AUUGAACGCUGGCGGCAUGCCUUACACAUGCAAGUCGAACGGUAACGCGGGGCAACCUGGCGACGAGUGGCGAACGGGUGAGUAAUAUAUCGGAACGUGCCCAAUAGUGGGGGAUAGCCCGGCGAAAGCCGGAUUAAUACCGCAUACGACCUGAGGGUGAAAGCGGGGGAUCGCAAGACCUCGCGCUAUUGGAGCGGCCGAUAUCAGAUUAGGUAGUUGGUGGGGUAAAGGCCUACCAAGCCUACGAUCUGUAGCUGGUCUGAGAGGACGACCAGCCACACUGGGACUGAGACACGGCCCAGACUCCUACGGGAGGCAGCAGUGGGGAAUUUUGGACAAUGGGCGCAAGCCUGAUCCAGCCAUGCCGCGUGCGGGAAGAAGGCCUGGUU
This 389-nucleotide ribosomal RNA is filed under the name uncultured bacterium. RNAcentral describes it as "bacterial SSU rRNA". It matches the Rfam family "Bacterial small subunit ribosomal RNA", at positions 29 to 424 of the family's 1533-position model. The record is from RNAcentral.